This 957-nucleotide long non-coding RNA is filed under the name Androctonus crassicauda. Lineage: Eukaryota; Metazoa; Arthropoda; Arachnida; Scorpiones; Buthidae. The record is from RNAcentral.
ACACAUUAUAAUAUAAUAUAUCAGCCAAAAAUACAGAAUUAGAAUAGAUCCUAGAUAAGACUCAUCCUAUUACUAUAAAUGCAAUAUUGCCUUAAAAUUAGGGAGAAACAUCCAGAAAACUUUAUUUAAAAAAAUGCAGUAAUAUGCUUGACUUACAGAACCUAGAAAAAAAUUCCAUCAGAUAUAGAUGCAUAAACCUAUAGUUAAUUUAAAAAAGCUAAUAAAGAAGAAAAACUAAAAACAUAUUUAGGAUUUACUAGAAGGAAUAUACUGUUCAGUAUGCUCAGGAAUGAUAAAGAUCAGAUUUUGGUAAAGAAAAGUAUGUAGACUAUAUGCUCUACCAUGAGUGUUUUCCAGCCUGUAAUGAGCUUUAUAAGUAACAGUUGCCAGAUAGAUUAUCCUAUGAGGAUAUGGGAGCUGAAACAAAUGGGGGACCCAUAGACAGAAUGACAGGUUUUAGCUUGAGUGAUUGUGGGGAUACAAUGAUGGGUGAACAGUGGAUUUUUCCAAGUCCCAACUGAAUCAGAAACAACUCCAAAACAAAUCAAAGAUUAUUGAAAGAGAUGGAGAGUUUUACAAAUUCAGUGUGUGAUGAUUAAUACAUUUGAGAGGAUAAAUAUCUUAUAAUAAUUACAAAGAAGAAAAGGAUGAUCACUGAUGUUUGUAGCUGAAAGUUCCAGUCCUUAGUGUAAUUUUUAAAAAUGGAAAUUCUGUAAGCUACCAAUAAUUUGUAAAGAUGUUUCUUCUUUGGCCAGUUACAAUAAUCUUCAAACACACUUACAAUGUUCACAGAUCAAAAACAAACAAACUGUUCUUCUUUUUAAAUAACAUAUAUAAUUUUCCACUUAUCCUCCUCGGAUCCACUACAAAAAAAACCUAUUUAUUUUGGGAAAUAUUGAGGUUUACUGACACACAGCAAUCAUAUUUGUUUAUAAAAUAUGUAAUUUUCAAAAUCCC